CAAUAGCGUAUAUUAAAGUUGUUGCAGUUAAAAAGCUCGUAGUUGGAUUUCGGGGCAGCCUGGCUGGUCCGCCGCAAGGCGAGUACUGGUCAGCCGCCCUUCCUCUCGAAAGCCCCGACUGCUCUUUAUUGCAGUGGUCGGGUAGUUCGGGACGUUUACUUUGAAAAAAUUAGAGUGUUCAAGGCAGGCCUACGCCUGAAUACAUUAGCAUGAAAUAAUGGAAGAGGACCUCGGUCCUAUUUUGUUGGUUUCCAGGACCGAAGUAAUGAUUAAGAGGGACAGUUGGGGGCAUUCGUAUUUAAUUGUCAGAGGUGAAAUUCUCGGAUUUAUGAAAGACGAACAACUGCGAAAGCAUUUGCCAAGGAUGUUUUCAUUAA
RNAcentral lists this ribosomal RNA (377 nucleotides) under uncultured eukaryote. RNAcentral describes it as "partial 18S ribosomal RNA". It matches the Rfam family "Eukaryotic small subunit ribosomal RNA", at positions 592 to 976 of the family's 1831-position model. The record is from RNAcentral.